UGGUGCCCAACAUGGGGCCUCCUGGCAUGGGGGAGUUAAUGAGGGAGCCGUUCAAAAACGCCAGCUAAAAGUGAAAACAAAUUAAAUCAAGGACCGAGGCUAAAAGUAAAAUUAAAGUAAAUCAAGGCCGAGGCCUGUGCAAGUGAGGGCCUGACGUGCCGCCCAAGUCACGGUGAGUGAACAGUAACCCUAUCCCCUCUUUCCCCGACAUGGGUCAAGCAUUGAGCAAACAUAAAUUGUUCGUGGGAAACCUUAACAAGGCAUUAAAGACAAGAGGGGUAAGGGUUAAAACAAAAAAAUUGUUACAGUAUUUUCAGUUUAUCCAUAUAGUGUG
Molecule: regulatory RNA element, 334 nt
Organism: Cavia porcellus (domestic guinea pig)
Lineage: Eukaryota; Metazoa; Chordata; Mammalia; Rodentia; Caviidae
Rfam family: Mason-Pfizer monkey virus packaging signal
About the family: The packaging signal is located in the 5' UTR and is required for specific RNA encapsidation.
Source: Rfam